GUAACGGAAUGAGGGAUCACGAUUUUGCCCUCCUCGUGACGUUUCUGUCUACUACGUUGGAAAACGUUUUGCAACGGGACGUGUUUCCGUAGCUACCUAGGCUGUCUCCUCUUUUCAUUGGUUGUCGGAACCUGACUGACAGCAUCCAAGGGGGUCAGCGGGGGCGGAGGUUGAGUCCCCAGGUUGCGCUUUGCAAAGCAAGGAAAAAGACACUUGUGUGUGAGAGAGGGAGCGAGAGAGAGAAAAGACUUGGCCGCACCCUUUCUUUCCGGGAGAGUACACCGCUCACAGGUAGGCUAGGCUAAAGGAACAGACGCUCACAACUGAAACUUUGGAUUUUAACUUUUGUCCAGGUUUGUGGAUUAAGAGAAUUCUGCGCGUUACCCCGGAAGGCGAUAUGGAGAGAUAGGCUCUAAGGUAAUCAAGACAAAGACAAAGUGAUGGGGCCAAGUCAAAGAAUCUCCAGGUAUAAAACGUUUUCACCGCCGUGUUGCAAACCCUGGUGUUUUAUCAGAGGGACGUUUCGCAGGACAGUCUUCAGGCCGCAGCAGAGGGACGACGUUGGUUGGUGGAGAUAAACAUCAAUCAAACUGGACGCCCCCCAGGGCGAUACCACCCCCGACUCAACAAUAGGGUGUCUUCAUGCUCCCCCGACCCACGUAAACCCCCGCUAAGCCAUCCAGCCCCCCCCCCCCCCC
Esox lucius (northern pike) is the source of this 698-nucleotide long non-coding RNA. The record is from Ensembl. Lineage: Eukaryota; Metazoa; Chordata; Actinopteri; Esociformes; Esocidae.